RNAcentral lists this ribosomal RNA (954 nucleotides) under Acinetobacter sp. DHHS5. RNAcentral's name for it is "bacterial SSU rRNA". It matches the Rfam family "Bacterial small subunit ribosomal RNA", at positions 354 to 1301 of the family's 1533-position model. Lineage: Bacteria; Pseudomonadati; Pseudomonadota; Gammaproteobacteria; Moraxellales; Moraxellaceae. The record is from RNAcentral.
GCCGGGGUAUUUGGAAUGGGCGAAGCCUGAUCCAGCCAUGCCGCGUGUGUGAAGAAGGCCUUUUGGUUGUAAAGCACUUUAAGCGAGGAGGAGGCUACUUGGAUUAAUACUCUAGGAUAGUGGACGUUACUCGCAGAAUAAGCACCGGCUAACUCUGUGCCAGCAGCCGCGGUAAUACAGAGGGUGCGAGCGUUAAUCGGAUUUACUGGGCGUAAAGCGUGCGUAGGCGGCUUCUUAAGUCGGAUGUGAAAUCCCUGAGCUUAACUUAGGAAUUGCAUUCGAUACUGGGAAGCUAGAGUAUGGGAGAGGAUGGUAGAAUUCCAGGUGUAGCGGUGAAAUGCGUAGAGAUCUGGAGGAAUACCGAUGGCGAAGGCAGCCAUCUGGCCUAAUACUGACGCUGAGGUACGAAAGCAUGGGGAGCAAACAGGAUUAGAUACCCUGGUAGUCCAUGCCGUAAACGAUGUCUACUAGCCGUUGGGGCCUUUGAGGCUUUAGUGGCGCAGCUAACGCGAUAAGUAGACCGCCUGGGGAGUACGGUCGCAAGACUAAAACUCAAAUGAAUUGACGGGGGCCCGCACAAGCGGUGGAGCAUGUGGUUUAAUUCGAUGCAACGCGAAGAACCUUACCUGGUCUUGACAUAGUAAGAACUUUCCAGAGAUGGAUUGGUGCCUUCGGGAACUUACAUACAGGUGCUGCAUGGCUGUCGUCAGCUCGUGUCGUGAGAUGUUGGGUUAAGUCCCGCAACGAGCGCAACCCUUUUCCUUAUUUGCCAGCGGGUUAAGCCGGGAACUUUAAGGAUACUGCCAGUGACAAACUGGAGGAAGGCGGGGACGACGUCAAGUCAUCAUGGCCCUUACGACCAGGGCUACACACGUGCUACAAUGGUCGGUACAAAGGGUUGCUACCUAGCGAUAGGAUGCUAAUCUCAAAAAGCCGAUCGUAGUCCGGGAUUGG